This is a long non-coding RNA of Gorilla gorilla gorilla (western lowland gorilla), 1967 nucleotides long. RefSeq lists it as uncharacterized. The record is from RefSeq and is a predicted model, not a curated record. The transcript is spliced from 4 exons. NCBI's taxonomy places the organism in Eukaryota, Metazoa, Chordata, Mammalia, Primates, Hominidae.
AGGGACCGGCCGCGGCGCGCUCGGUGGAGCGGGCCGCGGCCACUUGGGCGGUGCGCUCGCUUGUGUGGACUGGGAGGUCAGGCACGUCCUACCGCAGCAACGUCCGCCGCGCCGCCGUUCCCUCGUCGCUUCGUUAGCCAUUUUCUUGCAACGUCUUGAGUCGAGCAACAACGAUGUGCGGGCACUGAAUGACAGUGCGCGCGUUACUCAACACAAACCGAGGGGGCGCGUGCGCGCGCUGAACCUCUCAAGGAAAUACUUUAUCAGUUCUGCUGAAUAAUCGAAAAAUUGUCGUCGGUGUGCACCAACGAACUAGGUUCCCCGAGUUCCAUUCAAAAGACCUCAAAGCAGUUCUAGCGCUGUUAGUCCAAAGAAUAGGAAGGGCUGGCCUUUGACACAUGGCUCAUUGGCUGUCUCAAGAGAAAACAUCAUCGCCUUGCCCAUGGCAGCUUAGGUUAUUCUAGGGCUGCCCUUCCUCACUUGAAAAACAGGAAAACUUCUUUCUUGUUGGCCUCAGGUUUGCUAUCCUCCCCGGUAGACCUGAUGGCUCAACAUGAAAUUGUUCAAUGAAUGAGAAAACUAGCUUAUAAGUACUUGUUGCCGUUAUCAUAUGCUGUGUUCACUAUUUUGCCCCCCAAAAUUUGGGAUUCCAAGAACAGUGAGCAUCUUCUCAUGGAGGAUCGGCCUGUACAAAUUACCUUGGGAUUACUACUUUACACCAAAUAUGAAAAAAAAGAAUCCAUGUGGAUUGGAGACAUGAAUAUGAGGCAAAACAAUAAUACCACUAGUGUUCAGUGUGGUCUCACUCUGUCACCCAGGCUGUAGUGAAGUGGUGCCAUCGCAGCUCACUGCAACCUUCGCCUCCUGAGCUCAAGCCAUUCUCCCUCCUCAAGUGAUCCUCCCAUCUCAGCCUCCCCAGUAGCUGAGACUACAGAACUAUAAGAAGUUUGAGAAGUCCACCGAGGUCCAGGAAGUGUCAGGGGACAGGAUGGGAACUAGGGCUGGUAUGAAGUGAUACUGAAGAAUCUGGAUUUUGAAGGGCUUUAUUUGUCAUGCUAAGGAUUUUUAACUUGAAGGUGAUGGAGGGUCAUUGAAAGAUUUAAGCAAUUUAAUGUCUAAUCAGUUUCUGCCAUACUCUAACUGUGGCUUAAGGUUGAGUUUGGGGUGGUGUGGUGACAGUGGUGGAAGCCGAAGCAUAGAAAUCAGAAAAUUGUUAUGUGUAAUUCAGGUGAGAGCUGCUUCUCACCUGAAUCUACCAUUAUUCCUCUAAAUACAACUGCGUAACACCUGUCCCUUCAACCUCACUCCUCUUCUGCUCUGGGCUUUGAUUUGUUGCCCUUCUGCCAUUAUGUUAGUGAUUAUUCUGAUUUUUAACAUCUCUUCUAGUCACUCUCCACCCAGCAUUUUCCAAAGCUCAUAUCUUUAUAGAUGGCCCUACCUCAUGUUUCAUAAGGAAGUCAAGGUCAUUCAGUGAACAAGCCCUCAAUUUGCCCCCUGAAGCUAACAUACCUAAACUGCAGUCUUCUUACUUCUCACCUGUUUCAGUGGAAAGGCCAUCCCUUCUCCUAUCCAAGGCUAAAUUUCCAUCUGAGCUUUAAAUCUCAUUUCCUCUGGCUCCAUAGGUAUUUUUCUCCAUUGAGCAUCCCUUUAUUUUCUUUAUCUUUCCGCUCCUUUUUUCUACUGACUCUUUUCCUUCAGCAUCCCAACAGGGUUCAAGCCCUCACCCUUUUAUUUCAUCUGGGGUUUCUCAACUGCAUUAUUAACAUUUUCGGCCAAAGAGUUCUUUGUUGUGGAGAGGCCAGCAUCCCUAGCCUCUAUCCUAGUGGAUAGAUGCCAGUAGCCACGCCCCUCCUCCCUGAGUUGUAACAAACAACAGUGUCUCCGGAUGUUGCUAAAUCAUCCCAGCUUCAGAACCACUGAUUUAACCCAAUAUAUUCAAAAUAUUAUUUCAACGUAUAAUAAAUAUU